GACGAACGCUGGCGGCGUGCCUAACACAUGCAAGUCGAGCGAAUGAAGUUCCUUCGGGAAUGGAUUUAGCGGCGGACGGGUGAGUAACACGUGGGCAACCUGCCUCAUAGAGGGGAAUAGCCUCCCGAAAGGGAGAUUAAUACCGCAUAAGAUUGUAGUACCGCAUGAUACAGCAAUUAAAGGAGCAAUCCGCUAUGAGAUGGGCCCGCGGCGCAUAAGCUCGUUGGUGAGGUAAUGGCUCACCAAGGCGACGAUGCGUAGCCGACCUGUGAGGGUGAUCGGCCACAUUGGGACUGAGACACGGCCCAGACUCCUACGGGAGGCAGCAGUGGGGAAUAUUGCACAAUGGGGGAAACCCUGAUGCAGCAACGCCGCGUGAGUGAUGACGGCCUUCAGGUUGUAAAGCUCUGGCUUCAGGGACGAUAAUGACGGUACCUGAGGAGGAAGCCACGGCUAACUACGUG
This 464-nucleotide ribosomal RNA is filed under the name uncultured bacterium. RNAcentral's name for it is "partial 16S ribosomal RNA". It matches the Rfam family "Bacterial small subunit ribosomal RNA", at positions 28 to 507 of the family's 1533-position model. The record is from RNAcentral.